GACGAACGCUGGCGGCGUGCUUAACACAUGCCAGUCGAACGGAAAGGCCUGCUUUCCCUUGUGGAUUGCGGGUACUCGAGUGGCGAACGGGUGAGUAACACGUGAGUGAUCUGCCCCCAACUUGGGUAUAAGCCUGGGAAACUGGGUCUAAUUCCCGAUAGGACUGCAGGGUGGUGCCUGUGGUGGAAAACGAUUUUCUAGUGGUUGGGGAUGAGCUCGCGGCCUAUCAGCUUGUUGGUGGGGUAAUGGCCUACCAAGGCGGCGACGGGUAGCCGGCCUGAGAGGGUGGACGGCCACAGUGGGACUGAGAUACGGCCCAGACUCCUACGGGAGGCAGCAGUGGGGAAUAUUGCACAAUGGGCGGAGGCCUGAUGCAGCGACGCCGCGUGGGGGAUGACGGCCUUCGGGUUGUAAACUCCUUUCGACCGCGAGGAAGCCACCUGGUUGGAAGGGUGGUGACGGUAGUGGUAGAAGAAGCACCGGCUAACUACGUG
This 494-nucleotide ribosomal RNA is filed under the name uncultured bacterium. Its description in RNAcentral is "partial 16S ribosomal RNA". It matches the Rfam family "Bacterial small subunit ribosomal RNA", at positions 28 to 507 of the family's 1533-position model. The record is from RNAcentral.